UACAGAGGUCUCAAGCGUUGUUCGGAUUCAUUGGGCGUAAAGGGUGCGUAGGCGGCGCGGUAAGUCGGGUGUGAAAUCUCGGGGCUUAACUCCGAAACUGCAUUUGAUACUGCGGUGCUUGAGGACUGGAGAGGAGACUGGAAUUUACGGUGUAGCAGUGAAAUGCGUAGAUAUCGUAAGGAAGACCAGUGGCGAAGGCGGGUCUCUGGACAGUUCCUGACGCUGAAGCACGAAGGCCAGGGGAGCAAACGGG
This 253-nucleotide ribosomal RNA is filed under the name uncultured bacterium. Its description in RNAcentral is "partial 16S ribosomal RNA". It matches the Rfam family "Bacterial small subunit ribosomal RNA", at positions 524 to 776 of the family's 1533-position model. The record is from RNAcentral.